RNAcentral lists this ribosomal RNA (285 nucleotides) under uncultured Geobacillus sp. RNAcentral describes it as "partial 16S ribosomal RNA". It matches the Rfam family "Bacterial small subunit ribosomal RNA", at positions 1097 to 1384 of the family's 1533-position model. The record is from RNAcentral. Lineage: Bacteria; Bacillati; Bacillota; Bacilli; Caryophanales; Anoxybacillaceae.
CGCAACCCUCGCCUCUAGUUGCCAGCAUCGGUUGGGCGACUCUAGAGGGACUGCCGGCGACAAGUCGGAGGAAGUGGGGAUGACGUCAAAUCAUCAUGCCCCUUAUGACCUGGGCUACACACGUGCUACAAUGGGCGGUACAAAGGGCUGCGAACCCGCGAGGGGGAGCGAAUCCCAAAAAGCCGCUCUCAGUUCGGAUUGCAGGCUGCAACUCGCCUACAUGAAGCCGGAAUCGCUAGUAAUCGCGGAUCAGCAUGCCGCGGUGAAUACGUUCCCGGGCCUUGU